UCCCCCUUUAAUUUCAUUUUUCCCCUUUUAUUUUAUUUUUCCUUUUAUUUCAUUUUUCUCCUUUUAUUUUAUUUCCCCCCCCUUUUAUUUUAUUUUUUUUAUUUUAAUUUAAUUUAAUUUUUCCCCCUUUUAUUUCAUUUUACUUUAUUUUUCUCCUUUUAUUUUAUUUUCCUCCCCUUUAUUUUAUUUCAUUUUUUCCCUUUUAUUUCCUUUUCCCUUUAUUUUAUUUCAUUUUCCCUUUAUUUCAUUUCCUUUUAUUUCAUUUUUUCCCUUUUAUUUCAUUUUUUCCCCUUUAUUUUAUUUCAUUUUUCCCUUUUUAUUCCCUUUUUUCCCUUUCCCGGGGCUCUGGGGGGAGUCCCAGGGGGUUUAUUUUGAUUUCCCCCUCCCCUCACUCUUUAGAGGCCUAAUUUUAUAUCUAUUAAAAAAAAAACCACCACAAAUGAACCAAAACUUGGACGUUUCAACCUAAAAAAAAACCCACAAAACCCACAAAAAAAGCCAAGAAUUGUAAAAGUUUGAAUAUUGAAGAUAUAUAUUAUAUAUAAAUGCAAUAAAAACCGACAGAACCAGGCUGGGGGUCCCCCA
Molecule: long non-coding RNA, 585 nt
Filed under: Manacus vitellinus (golden-collared manakin)
Lineage: Eukaryota; Metazoa; Chordata; Aves; Passeriformes; Pipridae
Description: lncRNA (ENSMVIG00005004769.1)
Source: RNAcentral